GAUGAACGCUGGCGGCGUGCCUAAUACAUGCAAGUCGAGCGAACAGACGAGGAGCUUGCUUUUCUGAUGUUAGCGGCGGACGGGUGAGUAACACGUGGAUAACCUACCUAUAAGACUGGGAUAACUUCGGGAAACCGGAGCUAAUACCGGAUAAUAUAUUGAACCGCAUGGUUCAAUAGUGAAAGACGGUCUUGCUGUCACUUAUAGAUGGAUCCGCGCUGCAUUAGCUAGUUGGUAAGGUAACGGCUUACCAAGGCAACGAUGCAUAGCCGACCUGAGAGGGUGAUCGGCCACACUGGAACUGAGACACGGUCCAGACUCCUACGGGAGGCAGCAGUAGGGAAUCUUCCGCAAUGGGCGAAAGCCUGACGGAGCAACGCCGCGUGAGUGAUGAAGGUCUUCGGAUCGUAAAACUCUGUUAUUAGGGAAGAACAUAUGUGUAAGUAACUGUGCACAUCUUGACGGUACCUAAUCAGAAAGCCACGGCUAACUACGUG
This 497-nucleotide ribosomal RNA is filed under the name uncultured bacterium. RNAcentral describes it as "partial 16S ribosomal RNA". It matches the Rfam family "Bacterial small subunit ribosomal RNA", at positions 28 to 507 of the family's 1533-position model. The record is from RNAcentral.